Long non-coding RNA from Rhagoletis pomonella (apple maggot), 373 nucleotides. RefSeq lists it as uncharacterized. The transcript has 2 exons. NCBI's taxonomy places the organism in Eukaryota, Metazoa, Arthropoda, Insecta, Diptera, Tephritidae. The record is from RefSeq and is a predicted model, not a curated record.
UCGGACGUCGCCAAAAGUGUUUUAACGAAACGUGACGUAUCGUAGAGUUGAUUGCUUUUACUACUUGCAUGCAGUUCUCAGUUACUGGAUACAAACAGGCAAUUGUGCAUAGAUGUGUAAAUCGUUCUUAAAAAUCGAAUAUAAAAGUGGAUAUUAUGUAUGUAGAUUAAAAAGUGCGCGCAAAAAAAAGUCGAGCUGUGAUUACUGAAGUUGUUUGAAUGAAGUUGAAAAAAUUCAAUAAAUUUUAAUAAUAAAUUUUGUGUGGAACGGCUGUGCUGCAAGAGUAACUAGCGAAAAUUUGUCUAUUCCAUUUCAUUGUGCUGUGAAAGUUUCACUGUGCUUUGCGACACGAGUAGCUGCAGAAAUAAUAAAA